AUUGAACGCUGGCGGCAUGCCUUACACAUGCAAGUCGAACGGUAACAGGUCUUCGGAUGCUGACGAGUGGCGAACGGGUGAGUAAUACAUCGGAACGUGCCUAGUAGUGGGGGAUAACUACUCGAAAGAGUGGCUAAUACCGCAUGAGAUCUACGGAUGAAAGCAGGGGAUCGCAAGACCUUGUGCUACUAGAGCGGCCGAUGGCAGAUUAGGUAGUUGGUGGGAUAAAAGCUUACCAAGCCGACGAUUUGUAGCUGGUCUGAGAGGGCGAUCAGCCACACUGGGACUGAGACACGGCCCAGACUCCUACGGGAGGCAGCAGUGUGGAAUUUUGGACAAUGGGCGCAAGCCUGAUCCAGCAAUGCCGCGUGCAGGAUGAAGGCCUUCGGGUUGUAAACUGCUUUUGUACGGAACGAAAAGCCCCGGGUUAAUACCCUGGGGUCAUGACGGUACCGUAAGAAUAAGCACCGGCUAACUACGUGCCAGCCGCCGCCGUAA
Molecule: ribosomal RNA, 498 nt
Filed under: uncultured bacterium
Lineage: Bacteria
Description: partial 16S ribosomal RNA
Rfam family: Bacterial small subunit ribosomal RNA
Source: RNAcentral